Molecule: small RNA, 83 nt
Filed under: Marmota monax (woodchuck)
Lineage: Eukaryota; Metazoa; Chordata; Mammalia; Rodentia; Sciuridae
Source: RNAcentral
GCCAGGUGUGGUGGCGCACGCCUGUAAUCCCAGCUGCUGGGGAGGCUGAGGCAGGAGGAUUGUGAGUUCAAAGCCAGCCUCGG